AGUGAACGCUGGCGGUAGGCCUAACACAUGCAAGUCGAACGGCAGCACAGCAAGAGCUUGCUCUUACGGGUGGCGAGUGGCGGACGGGUGAGGAAUACAUCGGAAUCUACUUUUUCGUGGGGGAUAACGUAGGGAAACUUACGCUAAUACCGCAUACGACCUACGGGUGAAAGCAGGGGAUCUUCGGACCUUGCGCGAUUGAAUGAGCCGAUGUCGGAUUAGCUAGUUGGCGGGGUAAAGGCCCACCAAGGCGACGAUCCGUAGCUGGUCUGAGAGGAUGAUCAGCCACACUGGAACUGAGACACGGUCCAGACUCCUACGGGAGGCAGCAGUGGGGAAUAUUGGACAAUGGGCGCAAGCCUGAUCCAGCCAUACCGCGUGGGUGAAGAAGGCCUUCGGGUUGUAAGGCCCUUUUGUUGGGAAAGAAAAGCAGCAGGUUAAUACCCCGCUGUUCUGACGGUACCCAAAGAAUAAGCACCGGCUAACUUCGUG
RNAcentral lists this ribosomal RNA (492 nucleotides) under uncultured bacterium. RNAcentral's name for it is "partial 16S ribosomal RNA". It matches the Rfam family "Bacterial small subunit ribosomal RNA", at positions 29 to 507 of the family's 1533-position model. The record is from RNAcentral.